ACCUCAGAUCCAGGCGAGACAACCCGCUGAAUUUAAGCAUAUCACUAAGCGGAGGAAAAGAAACCAACAGGGAUUCCCCGAGUAGCUGCGAGCGAAACGGGACCUAGCCCAGCACCGAAUCCCUCGUCCUUGCAGGCGAUCGGGAAAUGUGGUGUAUGGGAGGCAACGUUCUCGGGAGUUUGCGACGGUGCAAGUCCCCCCUGACAGGGGCUUGUCCCAGAGUGGGUGCCAGGCCCGUCUACUGCCGUUGCGCGAC
RNAcentral lists this ribosomal RNA (256 nucleotides) under Bothriocroton concolor (echidna tick). RNAcentral's name for it is "partial 28S ribosomal RNA". It matches the Rfam family "Eukaryotic large subunit ribosomal RNA", at positions 1 to 240 of the family's 3401-position model. The record is from RNAcentral. Lineage: Eukaryota; Metazoa; Arthropoda; Arachnida; Ixodida; Ixodidae.